This 403-nucleotide ribosomal RNA is filed under the name uncultured bacterium. RNAcentral describes it as "partial 16S ribosomal RNA". It matches the Rfam family "Bacterial small subunit ribosomal RNA", at positions 30 to 526 of the family's 1533-position model. The record is from RNAcentral.
AUUGAACGCUGGCGGCAGGCUUAACACAUGCAAGUCGAGCGAGCGGCGGACGGGUGAGUAAUGUAUGGGGUCUGCCCGAUAGAGGGGGAUAACUACUGGAAACGGUAGCGAAUACCAUAUCUUAUCGGAUAACCUAUAUGGGAUUAGCUUGUCGGUGGGGUAAUGGCUCACCUAGGCGACGAUCCUUAGCUGGUCUGAGAGGAUGAUCCGCCACACUGGGACUGAGACACGGCCCAUACUCCUACGGAGGCAGCAGUGGGGAAUAUUGCACAAUGGGCGCAAGCCUGAUGCAGCCAUGCCGCGUGUAUGAAGAAGGCCCUAGGGUUGUAAAGUACUUUCAGUCGGGAGGCGUUACCGACAGAAGAAGCACCGGCUAACUCCGUGCCAGCAGCCGCGGUAAUAC